CCUCCCUCUCUCUGCAGCCUCAUGUCCGGGCCUCUGCACUUCGGUGGUUAAAGGCACCUCAUCGCUCACCUGGCCCCACACGGCUCCCGGCUGAGCAGCACCUAAAAGACUUGCAACACCUUUGGGUCAUGACUUCGAACUAGCCAGGCGGGGAAGCCGACUGACCGCCUGGGCCAGGUCCGGAUCCAUCAGAGUAGCCUCAAGGCCCGCUGUCCUGGUGGGUUAGCUGUGUUCUGAACGGCUAGAAUGGUUGGAGAGCGUAUCUGGCUGGGGAUCAGCAGAUCCGGCUAGCUCACCCGGACGCACAUCACACCCAGCCUGGCCUGCAAGGAAUUCAUCUCAGUGAAGAACAAAAGGUCAGCACCGGCAGGCAGCAAGAGGGCUCACGGGCCCCGGGGCCCGGCUCUCCACAGCUAAUUUACUGCGUCCUGGGCUGGCGAUGGGGAGGGGUCUGCUGGCAGCAAGCGAGGGUCCCCCAGAGCCAGCACUCAUCAGUGCCCCUGCCCAGCGGCCCUCCCUGCCCCUCCUGCCGUGGGGCUGUGCUCUUUGCCUGCCCCCCACACACGGUGCCGGUGGGCACCGCCGCUGUUUUCUAAAGGCGGCUUCCUCCUUCGUCUGGAGCCGGGGGCUUGACCCACGCCAGGCCAGUCAGAGCCCCUUCCUACACCAGUGCUCGGCGGGCAGAGACAGGAUGCAGCCUGGUUUCUCUCUGCACGAGGCCACUAGGAGGCCGGUGUGGAGCAGGUCUCGGUGGAGCCCCCGAUCCAGUGCGUUCCGGGGACUCUGGGCUGCUGCUCCGUGAAUGGUUCGGUUAUACAAGCCGGUAAGUUCCCUGCCCCUGUGGGGAUGGCCACGGGGCGCGGCACGCAGGGGCGCCUCGGGGAGUCUCCGGGUGGCAACAGCUGCCGAAGGCUGGGGAGGGAAGCCGUGUGGGGCGAAGGGGAAGCUGCACCACCACGAGGCCACGAGGACAGACUUGGGAAUCUCCCCGGGGUGCGGGAGUGCCAGGGCGGGCCUUCUGAGUCAGGGGGCAGGAGGGCGGGUCUCCGUCCCCCCCGGAGGACCCAUCCCUGGAUGUGGGCCUGGGAAGGGCAUGGCCCUGGGCAAGGUGGCCCUCCAGUCCCCCGGGGGCCGCCAGGGGCACUCCUAGAAUUUUGGGUGGUGAUUUAUUCACCUGUGAACGGGAACCGGGUGGCGCCUCGGAGCAUCCAUAUGCCAUAUGGAUGUCUGUCCAUAUCCGGAUGUCCCCUUUUCCCUAAACGGCUUCGAAUCCCAUUUUGGUUACAAAAGGAGUCCUGACCCUGUGGGGGGAAGGUUGUUCCUUCCGGUGAGAGGAGUCAGUCCAGCUUUCACGGAAGAGCAUCGGGUGCUCACAAGGACAGGAAGCACCCCCACGAGCGAGGAGAGAAACGCUGAGUUGUGGGAAGGGGCAGAGGCAGCCUGAGCUCACGUGAUUCCAGCCUGGCUUGAACGAGGAGGCUGUCCUGCAGAGCCCGGAACGCGGUCACAGCCUGUUUCAGACCCUGUGGCCCAACCUUCUCCUUUUAAGACACGAAGAAAACCAAGACCCAGAACGAGUAGGGUUUGUGACAUCUAGGACAGCGCCGUGAAUCGGUUUCCUAGGGCUGCCUUAACAAGGGACCCCAAACUAGACACGUGUUCUCUCGCAAUUUGGAGGCCAGAGUCCGAAAUCAAGGUGUCAGAGCCACCUCGGGGCUUCCAAAGGCUCAGGGGAGAAACUGUCCCUCCAGCCUUCCAGGGAAGCUGCCCAUUCCAGCUUCCAGGGACUCCCGCAUUCACAGGCGUGGGGCUGUGACCCUCCUGUCUCUGCCUCCCUGGUCACAUGGCCUCUCCCUCAGCUUUCCUCCCAUAAGGACCCUCCAUCCUAAAUCAGGAUGAUCACAUCUCAAAAAUCCAUAAUCAUACCUACAAAGACCUUUUUGCAAAUAAGUUCACGUUCACAGGUUCCGGGGACAUGGGGCUUUUGUGCGGGCACCAUUUAACCCCUUGCAUGUUCCUUGAGGGGAAAUCCUGUGUCCUGCCACGAAUCAGUACUUUGCCAAAGAGGUACAGCUUACUCCUUAUUUGGUGCAUGCACGAGUGUCCCCAAACUGCUUUCCGCCUUCUGUCUUCAUAAAGUUUUCGAAUAUUGAAAUAUGACCUAACAAAUAAUAAUAAUGAAGCUGAAUUACAGGAUGUCUUGGAACUAUUCGAGAUGUAGAUUUAUAUGUACAGAAAUGAAACAACUUGUAGAAUCUAUUGUUUUGUUUAUUUUUAAUUUUUUUAUAUGAGAGAGAGAGGGAGAAACAGCAUGAGCAGGGGGCAGGGAGAGGGAGAAGCAGGCUUCCCACCGAGCAAGGAGCCCAAGGCAGGACUCGAUCCCAGGACCCUGAGAUCCUGACCUGACCUGACACUCUACCGACUGAGCCACCCAGUCGCCCCUAGAACGUGUUGUUGAGUGCAGAGAGGAAGGAACAGAAAAAGUGCGUUGCCAUCUGUGUUACCGAAUGUGUGUGCACAUGUGCACGUGUGCACGGACAGUUUCUGGAAUGAGCAUAAGAAAUUUAACAGAGAGACUGGAGGUCUGUGCAUGGAGCUCGUGUAUUUUCCACGUUGUACCCUUAAAUAUCACUUGACUACUUUGUCCCAGCUACGUGUGUCACUUUAAAAUCAGACAUUAAGUAAUAGAGAUAGAUGAUCUUGGCUCUUUUUUCAUGUUGGCUUUUUAAGGGCAAAAUGUGCAGCGCCUGUUUGCUGACAGCGUAGAAAUGUCAGGCUCAGAGGUCAUGAGUCCCCAUCACAGCAUCUCCGUCCUGCCGACCGGGCAAAGCCACGGUCACUUAAGAAGGAACUUCGGAGCCAGACGUCCCCACGGACCCGCAUCCCGCAUCCCAGGGCACUGUCACUCUGCACGUGGCCCCCAUGCACCGGGGGUGGAAACGACUGUGUCACGCCGCCUCUCCCGGCCCUGGUUUGGCGAAGUGUCAAGGUGGCACACGAGAAGAAAGAUCUGAGAGAGGGAGAAGGUAGGCCCGAGAAAUCGAGGAGCAGGAGAAGAGGGGGCGUGGGAAAUACCUGACGGUAGAGAGCAGAGGAGGUUCAGAGCAAAGUAGGCCGCCAGCAGGCCUGUCCCGAGGCCCUCACCACGGCUCCCGCCCAGGGGCUGCUGCUUCAGAGCUGGGGAGGAAGAGAGAGUCCUAGGAAAACAGGAGUGCUGUCCAGUUCUCGCCCUGAGGACCAGGCGGCUCCUGCGGGAAGCACACGGGGGUGAGCCAGGCUCACUGUCAGCUAUCAGCUUUGUGGCUCUGAAGGCAGAGGGCUGGAGCUGGAAGAAAUUCUCUGGGUUUACAUCUUUUUUUAAGAUUUUAUUUCUUGAUUUGAAAAAGAGAGAGAGCACAGGCAGCGGGAGGGACAGAGGGAGAGAGAGAAGCAGACUCCCCACUGAGCAGGGAGCCUGACGUGGGGCUCGAUCCCAGGACCCUGGGAUCAUGAUCUGAGCUGAAGGCAGAGGCUUCACCAACUGAGCCCCCCAGGAGCCCCUCUGGGUCUUCAUUUAAAUCUUCACAGCAUAAAGCAAGGCUUAAGUAAAACACACAAUUUUGGCUGGAUUCCACGGAAGAGAAAUUUAAUUCCCUGAGAGAUGACGGUUAAGGGUACAAGCUGUGUAAAGUUCCUCAGCCAGAGAGUCCCUCACCCAUAAAAUCCAUACAACGGGGCGAUGAAGGCCUCUGAGGUGUUUUCCAGUCCAUCCUAGAAUCCGGCAGCUCUAGAGGCUGUGAAGACGGGUGGAGGGGAACCGGCACCAGCGAGUCUCUCGACGAGAGGCUCAGGAGACCCACCACCUUCUGACAAAGGAAAAUCCAAACGGGAACAUGAGCAUCCGUUCCCCUGAACGGAGGGUGGCAAGAACCGAUUGGCUCCAGCCUCGCUCUGAUGCAGACAGGUUGCUUCCACUUCCACAGAAGAGGAGGGUCCCCUUGUUCCCAGAUGCUCCCCUGAGUAGCCAGGUGUGUGCCUGUGGCCUUAAGGAGCCCGAGGUGUCUGUGAGGCGGGCCCAGAGCGCCCGAGGCACCUCAGGCGCUUUGUCCCUGGGUUCUCACCUCCGACCAUGGGGCGUCCUUUUAUUCUCUCAAAGUGAAAAUGCUCCGUGUUGUUUUCUUAAAAUGAGAUUCUAUCCCAGAACAUUUCUUUAAAACUUUUAGCUGCUUUUUUGUUUGUUUGUUUGUUGAAGUAAUUACUAUACCCACCAUGGGGCUCGAACUCACCACCCUGAAAUCAAAGAUCACAUGCUGUACUGACGGAGCCAGCCAGGAGCCCCCUUUUGGUUGUUUUUCUUUAAAUGUACCCUGUUUUUUUCAUUUAAAAAAAAAUAUUUUAAAAAUCUUUUAA
Long non-coding RNA from Mustela lutreola (European mink), 4389 nucleotides. RefSeq lists it as uncharacterized. The record is from RefSeq and is a predicted model, not a curated record. The transcript has 3 exons. NCBI's taxonomy places the organism in Eukaryota, Metazoa, Chordata, Mammalia, Carnivora, Mustelidae.